GUGAGCGGAAACGAGUUAUCUGAACCUUCGGGGAACGAUAACGGCGUCGAGCGGCGGACGGGUGAGUAAUGCCUAGGAAAUUGCCCUGGUGUGGGGGAUAACCAUUGGAAACGAUGGCUAAUACCGCAUAAUACCUUCGGGUCAAAGAGGGGGACCUUCGGGCCUCUCGCGUCAGGAUAUGCCUAGGUGGGAUUAGCUAGUUGGUGAGGUAAUGGCUCACCAAGGCGACGAUCCCUAGCUGGUCUGAGAGGAUGAUCAGCCACACUGGAACUGAGACACGGUCCAGACUCCUACGGGAGGCAGCAGUGGGGAAUAUUGCACAAUGGGCGCAAGCCUGAUGCAGCCAUGCCGCGUGUGUGAAGAAGGCCUUCGGGUUGUAAAGCACUUUCAGUCGUGAGGAAGGUAGUGUACUUAAUAGCUGCAUUAUUUGACGUUAGCGACAGAAGAAGCACCGGCUAACUCCGUGCCAGCAGCCGCGGUAAUACGGAGGGUGCGAGCGUUAAUCGGAAUUACUGGGCGUAAAGCGCAUGCAGGUGGUUUGUUAAGUCAGAUGUGAAAGCCCGGGGCCUCACCUCGGAAUAUCAUUUGAGACUGGCAGACUAAAGUACUGUAGAGGGGGG
This 620-nucleotide ribosomal RNA is filed under the name Vibrio harveyi. RNAcentral describes it as "bacterial SSU rRNA". It matches the Rfam family "Bacterial small subunit ribosomal RNA", at positions 62 to 661 of the family's 1533-position model. Lineage: Bacteria; Pseudomonadati; Pseudomonadota; Gammaproteobacteria; Vibrionales; Vibrionaceae. The record is from RNAcentral.